This 546-nucleotide ribosomal RNA is filed under the name uncultured bacterium. RNAcentral describes it as "partial 16S ribosomal RNA". It matches the Rfam family "Bacterial small subunit ribosomal RNA", at positions 355 to 893 of the family's 1533-position model. The record is from RNAcentral.
UGGGGAAUAUUGCACAAUGGGCGCAAGCCUGAUGCAGCCAUGCCGCGUGUGUGAAGAAGGCCUUCGGGUUGUAAAGCACUUUCAGCGAGGAGGAAGGUGGUGAGCUUAAUACGCUCAUCAAUUGACGUUACUCGCAGAAGAAGCACCGGCUAACUCCGUGCCAGCAGCCGCGGUAAUACGGAGGGUGCAAGCGUUAAUCGGAAUUACUGGGCGUAAAGCGCACGCAGGCGGUUUGUUAAGUCAGAUGUGAAAUCCCCGGGCUCAACCUGGGAACUGCAUUUGAAACUGGCAAGCUAGAGUCUCGUAGAGGGGGGUAGAAUUCCAGGUGUAGCGGUGAAAUGCGUAGAGAUCUGGAGGAAUACCGGUGGCGAAGGCGGCCCCCUGGACGAAGACUGACGCUCAGGUGCGAAAGCGUGGGAGCAAACAGGAUUAGAUACCCUGGUAGUCCACGCUGUAAACGAUGUCGAUUUUGGAGGUUGUGCCCUUGAGGCGUGGCUUCCGGAGCUAACGCGUUAAAUCGACCGCCUGGGGAGUACGGCCGCAAGG